CUCGUCAGUUACGAAGCUGGACUGAAACUGCCCAGUCAUUCAAUGCUGGAAGCUUCUGCGCGCGCGCGCCCAGGUCCGCACGCCCAUGCGUGGUGCGGCAUCUUGGCUCACUGCCAUGCGCGCGUGCGCCACACUGGCGCAUGUCCAUGCGCGCUCAUGCGCGGUGCGGCCUCUUGGCUCAAGGCCAUGCGCGGUGCGGCCUCUUGGCUCAAGUCCGUCCAUGCGCGCGUGCGCCACGUCACCUGUGAGCCUAUACGUGCGCGCCACACAGUCGCGCCGUAUUGGCUUACUCUGGUGCGCCGCGCAUGACACAGCAGGACCCAUGCACCAUGCGCCCAACCGCGCGCCUCGUGUACUCGCGCGCGCAUGACUGCCGCGUCAUGCGCCACAUCACGUACCACUUGGUCCUUGCAACCCUUGUGCUCCACAAAGGCGGCUCUCAAGCGGCUCGCGGCGAUGCGAGCGUGCGAAGUGCAAAGUGCGCCAUCAAAGCGUCACAUUGCGCCUCAUCGCCCACGCCACGCGCGCGCGCGCGCGAGCGUGUGCGAGUGCGAGUGCGAGUUAGGGUGCUCUGCACCCUUCGCGAGGACACUAG
RNAcentral lists this long non-coding RNA (595 nucleotides) under Helianthus annuus (common sunflower). RNAcentral describes it as "hypothetical non coding rna". Lineage: Eukaryota; Viridiplantae; Streptophyta; Magnoliopsida; Asterales; Asteraceae. The record is from RNAcentral.